AUCUUCCGCAAUGGACGAAAGUCUGACGGAGCAACGCCGCGUGAGUGAAGAAGGCCUUCGGGUCGUAAAACUCUGUUGCCGGGGAAGAACAAGUGCCGUUCGAACAGGGCGGCGCCUUGACGGUACCCGGCCAGAAAGCCACGGCUAACUA
This 151-nucleotide ribosomal RNA is filed under the name uncultured Bacillus sp. Its description in RNAcentral is "partial 16S ribosomal RNA". It matches the Rfam family "Bacterial small subunit ribosomal RNA", at positions 361 to 503 of the family's 1533-position model. Lineage: Bacteria; Bacillati; Bacillota; Bacilli; Caryophanales; Bacillaceae. The record is from RNAcentral.